Molecule: long non-coding RNA, 600 nt
Organism: Xiphias gladius (swordfish)
Lineage: Eukaryota; Metazoa; Chordata; Actinopteri; Istiophoriformes; Xiphiidae
Exons: 4
Source: RefSeq, a predicted model, not a curated record
AGGAAAUCCUAUUGUUUUUAGUCCCCCACAACCAAUUCAAUGGUGCAUUUGACAGUUCUGUUUUCUCUUUCUGUGUUGCCAAUCACCAUGCUGCUCUGUGGUCUGGUGCUACACGACACAAAGGCCUCCAGUGCGCUCAGGUUUGGAGGUCCGGAUAACCAGCUAUGUCUAAUGGUACGCAGCCCACUCAUGCUGCAGGGUGGGCAACAUCAAAAGAACAGCACCAGCUCCCCAGAGCCACACUAGUCUCACAGUGCUGCCUCUGCUGAAUCACUAUCAAACAGCCCAGUGACUCUUCAGAGGGGCUCCAUCUACAUGAUGCAAUCAAGAUACAACUAAGCGACCUCUUUGUAGUCCACGCUGAGCUGAAGUGGGGAGUCUCAGGGGGCCAAACCUCAAGUAGCCAAAAGUCUUGCUAUGCAAAACUAUAAAGUGGACGACUCAGGUUUCAGCGUGUGUGUGUGUGUGUGUGUUUGUGUGUGAGAAUCAUUGACAGAAACACAUCCAAGCAUUUCCAUGGUGUUGCAUAAGUCGUUAUUGUAGAGAUACUGAAAAAGCGAGCAAGCAAGCGAAGACAGUGGCUCUAAUCCCAAGUGUCAA